RNAcentral lists this ribosomal RNA (220 nucleotides) under uncultured bacterium. RNAcentral describes it as "partial 16S ribosomal RNA". It matches the Rfam family "Bacterial small subunit ribosomal RNA", at positions 57 to 305 of the family's 1533-position model. The record is from RNAcentral.
GCAAGUCGAGCGCGCCCUUCGGGGUGAGCGGCGGACGGGUGAGUAACGCGUGGGAAUAUGCCCUUUUCUACGGAAUAGCCUUUGGAAACGAAGAGUAAUACCGUAUACGCCCCUCGGGGGAAAGAUUUAUCGGUGAAGGAUUGGCCCGCGUAAGAUUAGAUAGUUGGUGGGGUAACGGCCUACCAAGUCGACGAUCUUUAGCUGGUUUGAGAGGAUGAUC